CUCAGCUUCAGCUCGACGAGCAUUUUGGAUAGGAUGAUUCCUUUUUUGGUACCAGGGAUUGAACCCAGGGGCACUUACCCACUGAGCCACAUCUCCAGCCCUUUAUUUUUCUAUUUUAUGCAGAGACAGAGUCUUGCUGAGUUGCUUUGGGCCUCACUAAGUUGCUGAGGCUGACUUUGAACUUGUGAUCCUCCUGCCUCGGCCUCCCAAAUUGUUGGGAUUAUGGCUGAAUGCCACCACACCCAGCUGGAUUGGAUGAUUCUUUGUCCUGAGGGGGCUCUUUUUGCACUAUGGGAUGUUCAGCAGCUUCCAUGGCUUCCACCCACCAAAUACAAAUAACAACCCUCACCCUCAAAUCAGGACAAUAAAAAAUGUCUCCAGAUACUACCAAAUGUUCUCCAGGGAGCAAAAAUCACUCCCAGUUGAGAACUGCUUCUCUAAAUGGGAAGUCUAAUCUUCAGAGAGGUUAAGCAACUUUCCCAAGGUCACAAGGUUGACAAAAAAAAUUGAAUGUAAACCAAGGUUUGCCUAACACCGGGCCAAAAUAUUUUUCAUGCUUUAGCUCCUAAGUAAAGGAGGUGUGAGGUCAGGCACUGUGGCUCAUGCCUGUAAUCACAGCAACUCUGGAGGCUGAGGCAGGAGGAUCAUGAGUUCAAAAACAGCCUCAGCCAAGAACGAGGAGCUAAGCAACUUGGUGAGACCCUGUCUCUAAAUAAAACACAAAAUAGGGCUGGGGAUGUGGCUCGGUGGUUGAGGGCCCCUGGUACCCCUCAAAAAAGAAAAAGAAAAAGAAGAUGUGAGCUCAGUACUGAAAUCUAUCUGCCCAGAAGCAAUAGUAUCGACACAUGCAGAUUGCCCUUCCCCAAAACUGUUUAGAAUUUCUGAAUUCACAACUGCUGGCUGCUGCUUAUCAGAGCCCAAUCUAGAUGUAAGAUUUUCAGAGUGAAGUCAACUGUGACCCAGGCCACUCUGCCAAACCUAGAAAUUCAAGCUCUCACUUACAAUCCUGCCUGUGUCCCCCGAGUGUGCCUCGAGGUUUGAUUUGAGCGUCCACUCCACUGGUCCUGGGAUCACUGGGAAAGCCAAGGUCGUGGGGAGCAGCGGCAGCUCUUCCGUUGCUGGUCUUCAGCCACUGUUUAAAAAGAGCCAAGAACAGAACUGUAACUCCAUUCUGCCUGAGUUCCACCUUCUUUUGGUUCCAGGUUAAUUUAUUAAAAUCUUUAUGAAUAAAAAAAAAUGGAUCUAAUUUGCAAAUUUACACUUCCAUGACCUGAAGAGAUAGAUGGGUGACUGAAGAAACCACUAGGCACAUAGUCACCAAGUUGCAGGCAGGGACACUAACUGACAACAGAAUGGAGGCCACCCCAAGCCUGGGUUUUUUUUCAUCAUUUAUUCUCUGCUUUCUUCCUCUAGCGCUGUGACUUUUUUUUUUUCUUCUCUUCUUUGCUGGGCCCUGUGGUACACAGACACAGUCAGGCAAGCUAAGG
This 1487-nucleotide long non-coding RNA is filed under the name Marmota monax (woodchuck). The record is from RNAcentral. Lineage: Eukaryota; Metazoa; Chordata; Mammalia; Rodentia; Sciuridae.